Molecule: ribosomal RNA, 441 nt
Filed under: uncultured Caldilineaceae bacterium
Lineage: Bacteria; Bacillati; Chloroflexota; Caldilineae; Caldilineales; Caldilineaceae
Description: bacterial SSU rRNA
Rfam family: Bacterial small subunit ribosomal RNA
Source: RNAcentral
CCUACGGGGGGCUGCAGUAAGGAAUAUUGCACAAUGGGGGAAACCCAGAUGCAGCAACGCCGCGUGAGCGAAGAAGGCCUUCGGGUCGUAAAGCUCUUUUCUGGGGGAUGAGGAAGGACGGUACCCCAGGAAUAAGUCUCGGCUAACUACGUGCCAGCAGCCGCGGUAAAACGUAGGAGGCGAGCGUUAUCCGGAUUCACUGGGCGUAAAGGGCAAGUAGGCGGUUGUCUAAGUUGGGCGUGACAACUCCCGGCUCAACUGGGAGAGGUCGUUCAAUACUGGAUGACUGGAGGGCAGGAGAGGAAAGUGGAAUUCCUGGUGUAGCGGUGGAAUGCUCAGAUACCAGGAGGAACACCAGUGGCGAAGGCGGCUUUCUGGCCUGCACCUGACGCUGAGAGGCGAAAGCUAGGGGAGCGAACGGGCUUAGAUACCCGUGUAGUC